RNAcentral lists this ribosomal RNA (250 nucleotides) under uncultured bacterium. RNAcentral describes it as "partial 16S ribosomal RNA". It matches the Rfam family "Bacterial small subunit ribosomal RNA", at positions 524 to 772 of the family's 1533-position model. The record is from RNAcentral.
UACAGAGGGUGCAAGCGUUAUCCGGAUUUAUUGGGCGUAAAGCGUUUCGUAGGCGGUUGGGAAAGUCAUACUUCAAAUACCAGAGCUCAACUUUGGAAAGGGGUGUGAUACUACCUGACUUGAAAGAAAUCGGGGCAAUCGGAACUCUCGGUGUAGGGGUGAAAUCCGUUGAUAUCGAGGGGAACACCAAGGGCGAAGGCAGAUUGAUAGGUUUUCUUUGACGCUGAGGAACGACAGCUAGGGGAGCGAA